UCAACAAAAUAUUGACAAACCACAUCCAGCAAUACAUUAAAAAGAUCAUUCCCCAUGAUCAAGGGGGAUUCAUACCAGGGAUGCAAGGAUAGUACAAUAUUCACAAGUCAAUAAAUGUAAUAUAUCACAUAAA
Molecule: long non-coding RNA, 133 nt
Organism: Phyllostomus discolor (pale spear-nosed bat)
Lineage: Eukaryota; Metazoa; Chordata; Mammalia; Chiroptera; Phyllostomidae
Exons: 2
Source: RefSeq, a predicted model, not a curated record